AAACAUGGUUGAAACAAGAUUAAUCGUGAGAAGUCAGCCGAGGCCAUAGUACUGGAAGUUUUUUUUUCAGGAAGGGC
Molecule: non-coding RNA, 77 nt
Organism: Sporomusa sphaeroides DSM 2875
Lineage: Bacteria; Bacillati; Bacillota; Negativicutes; Selenomonadales; Sporomusaceae
Source: Rfam